UGGUUCUGGCAUNGAUGAAGAACGCAGCAAAAUGCGAUAAGUAAUGUGAAUUGCAGAAUUCAGUGAAUCAUCGAAUCUUUGAACGCACAUUGCGCCCGCCAGUAUUCUGGCGGGCAUGCCUGUUCGAGCGUCAUUUCAACCCUCAAGCUCAGCUUGGUGUUGGGACUCGCGGUAACCCGCGUUCCCCAAAUCGAUUGGCGGUCACGUCGAGCUUCCAUAGCGUAGUAAUCAUACACAUCGUUACUGGUAAUCGUCGCGGCCUCGCCGUAAAACCCCAACUUCUGAAUGUUGACCUCGGAUCAGGUAGGAAUACCCGCUGA
This 320-nucleotide unclassified non-coding RNA is filed under the name uncultured fungus. RNAcentral's name for it is "partial contains 5.8S ribosomal RNA and internal transcribed spacer 2". The stretch from base 1 to 133 matches the Rfam family "5.8S ribosomal RNA", at positions 22 to 154 of the family's 154-position model. The record is from RNAcentral. Lineage: Eukaryota; Fungi.